AUAAUCACCUAAAUGGGGUGGGCUAGCGAUCAUGAAGGACGACUUCCUAGGUUAGUGGUCUCCAUUGCACGUGUAGGAGGUGCACUGACCUAGCGUAUCGUCAAAGAGGAGCUCUCAUGCCAUAAUUUUUUAAGGGGAAAUUCACAUAUGCGUCGUCCCUA
Molecule: small nuclear RNA, 161 nt
Organism: Dendrobium catenatum
Lineage: Eukaryota; Viridiplantae; Streptophyta; Magnoliopsida; Asparagales; Orchidaceae
Product: U1 spliceosomal RNA
Exons: 1
Source: RefSeq, a predicted model, not a curated record